AAUGAACGCUGGCGGCGUGGAUAAGACAUGCAAGUCGAACGAAGAAGUGAUUAGUUUACUAUGAGCUUCUUAGUGGCGAACGGGUUAGUAACGCGUGAGCAACCUGCCUUAAAGUGGGGGAUAGUCCUGGGAAACUGGGUUUAAUACCGCAUGUGUCCUUCGGGAUAAAGCUAGCUUCGGCUUGCUUUAAGAUGGGCUCGCGUCCUAUCAGCUUGUUGGUGAGGUAAAGGCUCACCAAGGCGACGACGGGUAGCUGGUCUGAGAGGAUGAUCAGCAACACUGGAACUGAGACACGGUCCAGACACCUACGGGUGGCAGCAGUCGAGAAUCAUUCACAAUGGGGGAAACCCUGACGGUGCGACGCCGCGUGGAGGAUGACGGCCCUAGGGUUGUAAACUCCUGUCAUCAGAGAGUAAAGCUUUGCGAUUAAUACCCGUGGGGGUUUGAUAGUAUCUGAAGAGGAAGGGACGGCUAACUUCGUGCCAGCAGCCGCGGUAAUACGAAGGUCCCAAGCGUUGUUCGGAAUUACUGGGCGUAAAGAGUGCGUAGGCGGCUAGGUAAGUCAGAUGUGAAAUCCCGGGGCUCAACCUCGGAACUGCAUCCGAUACUACCUGGCUAGAGUAGUGGAGGGGCAUCUGGAAUUCUCGGUGUAGCAGUGAAAUGCGUAGAUAUCGAGAGGAACACUAGUGGCGAAGGCGAGAUGCUGGACACUUACUGACGCUGAGGCACGAAGGCCAGGGUAGCGAAAGGGAUUAGAUACCCCCUGUAGUCCUAGCAGUAAACGAUGUGCGCUUGGUGUGGGAAGGUUCGACCCUUUCCGUGCCGGAGCUAACGCGUUAAGCGCGCCGCCUGGGGAGUACGGUCGCAAGACUAAAACUCAAAGAAAUUGACGGGGACCCGCACAAGCGGUGGAGUAUGUGGCUUAAUUCGAUGCAACGCGAAGAACCUUACCUAGGCUUGACAUGUAUCGCUAAUCUGCUGAAAGGCAGUGACUCUUCGGAGACCUUACACAGGUGCUGCAUGGCCGUCGUCAGCUCGUGUCGUGAGAUGUUUGGUUAAGUCCAGCAACGAGCGCAACCCCUGUGGAUAGUUGCCAGCAAGUAAUGUUGGGGACUCUAUCCAGACUGCCCAGUUCAACUGGGAGGAAGGUGGGGACGACGUCAAGUCAGUAUGGCCCUUACGCCCAGGGCUGCACACGUACUACAAUCCCCAGCACAAUGUGAACCGAUACCGCAAGGUGGAGGAAAUCCCUAAAACUGGGCUCAGUUCGGAUUGUGGGCUGCAACUCGCCCACAUGAAGCUGGAAUCGCUAGUAAUGGCACAUCAGCUACGGUGCCGUGAAUACGUUCCCGGGUCUUGUACACACCGCCCGUCACAUCAUGGAAGCCGAUCGCACCCGAAGUAUCUGCGUCAACAUAGACAGGGUCCUAAGGUGUAGUUGGUAACUGGGAUG
RNAcentral lists this ribosomal RNA (1453 nucleotides) under uncultured prokaryote. RNAcentral's name for it is "partial 16S ribosomal RNA". It matches the Rfam family "Bacterial small subunit ribosomal RNA". The record is from RNAcentral.